This 427-nucleotide ribosomal RNA is filed under the name uncultured prokaryote. RNAcentral describes it as "bacterial SSU rRNA". It matches the Rfam family "Bacterial small subunit ribosomal RNA", at positions 355 to 774 of the family's 1533-position model. The record is from RNAcentral.
UGGGGAAUUUUGGACAAUGGGCGCAAGCCUGAUCCAGCCAUGCCGCGUGCGGGAAGAAGGCCUUCGGGUUGUAAACCGCUUUUGUCAGGGAAGAAAAGGUUCUGGCUAAUACCUGGGACUGAUGACGGUACCUGAAGAAUAAGCACCGGCUAACUACGUGCCAGCAGCCGCGGUAAUACGUAGGGUGCGAGCGUUAAUCGGAAUUACUGGGCGUAAAGCGUGCGCAGGCGGUUAUGCAAGACAGAGGUGAAAUCCCCGGGCUCAACCUGGGAACUGCCUUUGUGACUGCAUGGCUAGAGUGCGGCAGAGGGGGAUGGAAUUCCGCGUGUAGCAGUGAAAUGCGUAGAUAUGCGGAGGAACACCGAUGGCGAAGGCAAUCCCCUGGGCCUGCACUGACGCUCAUGCACGAAAGCGUGGGGAGCAAACA